Molecule: long non-coding RNA, 255 nt
Organism: Dreissena polymorpha
Lineage: Eukaryota; Metazoa; Mollusca; Bivalvia; Myida; Dreissenidae
Exons: 3
Source: RefSeq, a predicted model, not a curated record
AAAUUCGAAGAAAAUGGCGACAGCAUUUUCAGAUGAAACUUAUCCAUUGAAAUCCGGCUAUUUGAAGAAUGAUUUUCUCAUCAGUUAUCAUCAAAAAGAAAUAGCUCACGCAAGCCAAUUCACGCCUGGUGUUUGGAAGAACGUCCAAAGAGAUGUGGCAUUUCUGCUGUUGAUAUCUGAGAUGUUUCAGGAUAAUGUCAAAGACUGAAACGUUGGGUUCUUUCACAAUGGAAGAAUUUGAGGAAUCUGAGGAGG